This 1900-nucleotide long non-coding RNA is filed under the name Salvia miltiorrhiza (redroot sage). Its description in RNAcentral is "long non-coding RNA (SMIL_LNC007730)". Lineage: Eukaryota; Viridiplantae; Streptophyta; Magnoliopsida; Lamiales; Lamiaceae. The record is from RNAcentral.
UUUCAUCAGCUCUCCAACGCACCAGUCUAUGACAUUCUUCGAGUUGUAGAAUCUGCAAUGAGCUGAAUUCAUCUCCUUCUGCUAUUUCCCACUCUUCAUUUGCUUCUUCUUCUUCUGUCUCAUUGCUUUUGAAGGUACAUGUGCGCAUCUUGAGCACUUCCAGAUUCGGUAUUGCACAUAGAGCCGUCGUUGCUGCCGGAGUUAUUACACAAAACACCAGACUUAAUUCUCUAAGACUAGAUGGAAAUUUGAGUGCGUGCAGAUAUUGCCAGUACAUUAAACUCCAGCUUAAUGUUUGGAGUUUGUGAAGAUGACUCAGAUCAACUACUUCACAUGAGCCUUUAACCACAUAACCGAUUCCCAAGCUUUUUAUAUUUGGAAUGCUUUCCAAGAAACCCCUUCUAAUCACUGACGGAGUUAGUUUCACAUUCCGUAUAGUCUGCAGCUUCUUCAGAACAAUUUUUUUCAUGUAAUCAUCUUCUAUCCUGAGAUAUAUACCCAACAUGAUGAGAUGUCUUAACUCAGACAUCUCCCACAACUCAGCUGGACAACAGCCAUAGUGUAGGUUAGCAAUCAAGGUUUGCAAAUCACACAAUCUUGAUAUUCCACUUCUUGGCAAUGACUUNGUACCCUAAUACCCGAUUCGGAUAUUCGGGUGCCCUAAAGUAACCGGAAAAAUGUCAAGUCAUCACAAGUCAAACUAAGAAUGCAGGAAAAAUACCGUAUGCAAGUACCAAAAUUAAAAAAUAUGGAUUAGCAGGCUAUUUUUGAACGUAAUGUGAUUUACAAAUUUGGUGAUAGUUUGGUAUUGCGAAGCAUAAAACUAUAAGAAACUAUUUUACUAUUUUACCCUAUAUUUUAUAGCUCAUAAAUUAAAUUUAGGGUUAUAAAAUAUAGGAUAAAUAGUAAAUAUUUAAUUAUUAUUAUUAUUAUUUUAAAAAGAGGGUUACAAGGAGUAAAAUAUGGGCUAUCAAUAGAAUGACCCCCAACAUUAUAUAUUUAUGUUCAAGAAGUAAUAUCAUGCAUGCCAACUUCAUCCAACUAAAAGUACUAGAACUAGAAAUGUUUAAAGAUCAUAAUUCAUUCGAAACUCCAAAUUAAUUAAAUUUGACCAAAUAUAUAUCAACGAAACUAUAAUAUCAUAUUAAAAAAAAAAUCCAAUUAAAGGUUCAAGUCUCAUUAAAAGUACCAACAUGGCAAAAAACCCGUAAGAAAAACAAAGCAAAUUGUGAAGCAAUGGUAGACAAGACAAGAGAGGAGAAAUCAAAUGAGUUUCAAAUAUGGCCACUUUGAGUCGUCUUCAUCUUCCUUUCAUUUCUCUUCCUCUUUCUGUGCUCUCUAGAUAUGCGACAUAAGAAAUUCUUGAGUGUAAUGAAACCCAACAACAUGAUUAGAGUGAAAAUAAGACUGACCUAUUAUGAGAUGAUACGAAGUUGGAGUUGGUAGUUUUCGUAUUCAGAUUGCUGCUCCUCCUUAAUCUUUUUCGCUGAGGCCACUACAGAAUCGUUGCAAAAUACCAUUUCGAUUAAUUGGAGGGUUGGGAUUUCUCCAAUGCCGGCGGGGAUUUCCUCUAGCUUCCUACAAUCUCGUAUAAUGAGAUGGCGGAGUCUAGGGAAGUUGGUUUCAUCAGCUCUCCAAUGCACCAGUUUUGAAAAAGAGAGUUGUAGAAACUGCAAUGAGCUGAAUUCAUCUCCUUCUGCUAUUUCCCACUCUUCAUUUGCUUCUUCUUCUUCUGUCUCAUUGCUUUUGAAGGUACAUAACUCUAUCUUGAGCACUUCCAGAUUCGGUAGUGCACACAGAGCCGUCGUCGCUGCCGGAGUUAUUACACAACACUCCACGAAUAAUUUUCUAAGAGUAGAUGGAAAUUUGACUGCAUGCAGAUAUUGAUGCCAUGAACCCC